ACAUCGGAUCGCAGGGCUCCCAAAAUGGCGAGUGAGGCUGCGGGGACUCGCUGAGCAGCGGAGGGGGAGCGUGCAGAGCCGCUGCGGCCCUCACAGUCCGGAGCCCGGCCGUGCCGUGCCGUAGGGAACAUGCACUUUUCCAUUCCCGAAACCGAGUCCCGCAGCGGGGACAGCGGCGGCUCCGCCUACGUGGCCUAUAACAUUCACGUGAAUGGAGUCCUGCACUGUCGGGUGCGCUACAGCCAGCUCCUGGGGCUGCACGAGCAGGUGGGACUAGCACCCCUGCCUUGAGACAGCUUCAAGCCCUUCCCUACACGUGGACAUCAGUGUCUCCCUUUACCCGCUCUUCUUGUUCCCGUAGGCUGUAGUUCCCCUUUAAUCACUACCACAGGGUAGGGCCCUGGUUUAUCUUGUCUGACAUUUCCGGGAACUCCCUAAGAAGCUUAAUGUCCGCGCAACAAGUGCUCCUUCCUGUUCUUAUAUUCUGGUUUUCUGUCCAGUCUUACUGCUCUAGUAGCCUUUACCCUUGCAUGGACAAACCAACCCCUCCCCCCACUACCUCCACCCA
This 568-nucleotide small RNA is filed under the name Pan troglodytes (chimpanzee). Its description in RNAcentral is "retained intron". Lineage: Eukaryota; Metazoa; Chordata; Mammalia; Primates; Hominidae. The record is from RNAcentral.